Long non-coding RNA from Glycine soja, 1131 nucleotides. RefSeq lists it as uncharacterized. The record is from RefSeq and is a predicted model, not a curated record. Lineage: Eukaryota; Viridiplantae; Streptophyta; Magnoliopsida; Fabales; Fabaceae. The transcript has 4 exons.
GUCUAAUUUUGCUUAGAAGAUAAAAGGCUUUUUAUUCAUCAUAUAUCUCAAUUAAUCGGGGUUUUUUCUUCAUUUUCUCUCUCUCUUGAAGCUAUCAAGUUUAUGGAGGUGAGCCAUACAUAAGGUCUGCCGAAGACAUUGCAUUCCGCGUCACUCUUUUUAUUGCAAGAAAAAAUGGAAGCUAUGUCAAUUACUAUAUGGUAUCAAUAUUAACAUAUGCAACUCUCUUGAUUUAAUAGGAUCUCUCUACUGUCCCCUCUGUUCUCUGUUGCUAGAAUAACCUCUAAGUUACAUUUUGUUUUUUGUUUUGCAAACUUGGUACCAUGGUGGAACUAACUUGGGGAGAACGAGUUCUUCUUAUGUUAUAACAUCUUUUUAUGAUCAAGCUCCACUUGAUGAAUAUGGUGAGUAUAGAACAUUAAUUGUUUUCCUACCCCGACAUCCACAUAACAGGCAAAUAAAGGUCUAUUAAGGCAACCCAAGUGGGGACAUCUCAAGAAAGUAGAGCAAUUUCUCUUUAGGUCAACUACAGGAGGGUUAUGUUUUUGAAGAAGAAGGAAAAUGUGUUGCUUUCCUUGUAAACAAUGAUCACGUGAAAAUGUUCACCGUCCAAUUCCGCAACAGAUCAUACGAAUUGCCUCCGAAGUCAAUUAGUAUUUUAUCAGAUUGUCAAAAUGUGACUUUCAAUACAGCAACGGUAAAUACAAAGAGCAACAGAAGAAUCAUUAGUCCAAUACAAACUUUCAGCUCGGCCGAUUAAUGGGAGCAAUUUCUGGAUGUCAUCCCUAACCUUGACCGGACUACGUUAAUAUCAAACUCAUUACUUGAGCAAAUGAACGUAACCAAAGAUACAUCAGAUUACCUUUGGUGUACUCUUAGAUUAGUUAUACAUAAAUACAUCCACUUAUCUGACAUAAGGGUUCAAAUAUAUCUGACAUUCCUUUUUAUCUAUUCAAUCACAUCAUUGGACACUGAUGGUGUAAUUCAUAAACUUGGUACUAACUAAUUACGAAACUAAUUGAUUCUGUGAACAGGUUUGAACAUAAUUUAUCUUGCAGUGAAUCAAAACUCAGUGUUCAGUCUGCUGCUCAUGUUACCCAUGCUUUUGCAGAUGGCACAUACCUAGGUAAA